Molecule: ribosomal RNA, 440 nt
Filed under: uncultured bacterium
Lineage: Bacteria
Description: partial 16S ribosomal RNA
Rfam family: Bacterial small subunit ribosomal RNA
Source: RNAcentral
CCUACGGGAGGCAGCAGUGGGGAAUAUUGGACAAUGGGGGAAACCCUGAUCCAGCGACGCCGCGUGAGUGAAGAAGUAUUUCGGUACGUAAAGCUCUAUCAGCAGGAAAGAAAAUGACGGUACCUGACUAAGAAGCCCCGGCUAACUACGUGCCAGCAGCCGCGGUAAUACGUAGGGGGCAAGCGUUAUCCGGAUUUACUGAGGGUAAAGGGAGCGUAGACGGCAGCGCAAGUCUGUAGUGAAAUGCCGGGGCCCAACGCCGGAACUGCUCUGGAAACUGGGAGGCUGGAGUGCAGGAGAGGUAGGCGGGAGUCGGGGUGGAGGGGGGAAAUGAGUAGAGAUUAGGAGGAACACCGGGGGCGAAGGCGGCUUACUGGACUGUAACUGACGUUGAGGCUCGAAGGCGUGGGGAGCAAACAGGAUUAGAUACCCCAGUAGUC